UACGGAGGGUGCAAGCGUUAUCCGGAUUCACUGGGUUUAAAGGGUGCGUAGGUGGGUUGAUAAGUCAGUGGUGAAAUCCCCGAGCUUAACUUGGGAACUGCCAUUGAUACUAUUGAUCUUGAAUACCGUGGAGGUCAGCGGAAUAUGUCAUGUAGCGGUGAAAUGCGUAGAGAUGUGGAGGAACACCGAUGGCGAAGGCAGCCCCCUGGGAUGAGACUGACGCUCAUGUACGAAAGCGUGGGGAGCAAACAGG
Molecule: ribosomal RNA, 253 nt
Filed under: uncultured bacterium
Lineage: Bacteria
Description: partial 16S ribosomal RNA
Rfam family: Bacterial small subunit ribosomal RNA
Source: RNAcentral